UACGAAGGGGGCUAGCGUUGUUCGGAAUUACUGGGCGUAAAGCGUGCGCAGGCGGUCGUUCAAGUCGCGUGUGAAAGCCCCCGGCUCAACUGGGGAGGGUCACGCGAUACUGAUCGACUCGAAGGCAGGAGAGGGUAGUGGAAUUCCCGGUGUAGUGGUGAAAUGCGUAGAUAUCGGGAGGAACACCAGUGGCGAAGGCGACUACCUGGCCUGUUCUUGACGCUGAGGCGCGAAAGCUAGGGGAGCAAACGGG
This 253-nucleotide ribosomal RNA is filed under the name uncultured bacterium. RNAcentral's name for it is "partial 16S ribosomal RNA". It matches the Rfam family "Bacterial small subunit ribosomal RNA", at positions 524 to 776 of the family's 1533-position model. The record is from RNAcentral.